Molecule: long non-coding RNA, 751 nt
Organism: Zea mays
Lineage: Eukaryota; Viridiplantae; Streptophyta; Magnoliopsida; Poales; Poaceae
Exons: 5
Source: RefSeq, a predicted model, not a curated record
UCCCCUUCCCCCUCAGCUCCAUUGGAGGCUACAGCUGCCCUCUACACUAUACAGUUUGCAGUAUAUUUCUUCUUCUCGGAGGAGGAUGAACGGAUUUCCAGCACCCUAUUUUCAACAUCGAGGAGGAUGAACAUUCUACGAAAUCAAAAGGACCCCUUAAGUUCUACAACUCAGAGGCUGCACUUGGGGAAUCAAAGAAAAGUGAAAGUGCCAUGUCAAAGUUGAUGACCAGAAGCUUGCUAUUGGAACCCUCUCUAUUGAAAAAUACCCCUAGAUAGAAAUUGAUUUGGUUUUCAAUAAAGAGUAUGAAGAGAAGGAGCUAAACAUUCCAGUAAUCAAGGAAAAUGCUAACUGGGAGGUGUUGCGGCUCCUCUGCAACUGCACGUACCUUGGUUAGCCUUACUCAACCUCUUGCAUCCCCUCUUGCUUGCUUUCUCUAACUGUAGGGAUUUCUCGAGUUAGGAUUCUGUUUGCUUCUCACGGUGGGCUUAAUCAUUAGUUAGAGAGAUCUAGCAAUAGCUCCAACAUAUUGCCACGGGAAAACAUGCACAACAAGGUUAUUAAUUUCUUACAAACAUCCAUGAUACUCCUGAUAUCUCUGUCCUUUUGUGUGGAUCCACAAUAUCAACCAUUUUGCUUGGUGCAAGUGGAUCAGUUCCGAUCUGUAGGUUUCUGUACAAAAAUGCACUCCAAAAGUGUUUUUGGAUCAACAAAUGUUUUUAUAAUUCACGGCGGGAGGAUAAACUGAAAA